Molecule: ribosomal RNA, 119 nt
Filed under: Salmo salar (Atlantic salmon)
Lineage: Eukaryota; Metazoa; Chordata; Actinopteri; Salmoniformes; Salmonidae
Source: RNAcentral
GCUUACGGCCAUAUCAGCCUGGGUAUGCCCGAUCUUGUCUGAUCUCGGAAGCUAAGCAGGUUCGGGCCUGGUUAGUACUUGGAUGGGAGACCGCCUGCGAAUACCAGGUGCUGUAAGCA